ACCAGGUGUGCCCGCCAAGUUAUGAGAGUCGGGUCCACUGUGGCGUGCUGUUGGAUCUGUCGGAUGAGCGCUGGCGACGUCCUCGUCGGGCUGCUGCACCAUGAUUUGGAACCUGCACUUUUGCGCUAAAUGGGAUUCAUUCCAGUGGCCUUUUACUGCAAGCAUUUGAAAGUGUGCUGUUGUGUGGCUGAUUAAGACCUCACUGAUGGCACUGAGUGACAGUACCUCUCUACCAACAUGCAAGUCUUUGCUGUCAUCAAAGGAUACUGAUUACCUUGGAAUAUCACCAGGAGGGGACUGUGAAUCUAAUCAAUGUUGAUGUCUUUAUAUAUGACGGAUAUUGCACAAUAAAAAUGUUUCAGUAAAACUCA
Gambusia affinis (western mosquitofish) is the source of this 371-nucleotide long non-coding RNA. RefSeq lists it as uncharacterized. The record is from RefSeq and is a predicted model, not a curated record. The transcript has 4 exons. NCBI's taxonomy places the organism in Eukaryota, Metazoa, Chordata, Actinopteri, Cyprinodontiformes, Poeciliidae.